AGACAUGCACCGACCAAGAGCCGCGCCAAGCAAGGGGAAGGGCUCCGGCAAUACUAUAUCCAACACAUACUUCUGCCUCUUUAGUGCUUCAUAGCUAUUUAUGGAUACAUUUGUGAUUUUGGUUCCUAUCAUCCGUGUUAUGGGGUUCGCCAUUUAUUGGCGGAAUUUUCGGGAAAGCUGAGGUGAAGAACGGUGAGGAGGAAAGGAUGUGGUUCAGCUUCAAAUCGACUGAUUUGCUGGCUUGGAUGAAAGAAGCACUCGACAACCAACUAAGGUAUGCAGCUUUGGAGCCUUAAUACUUGUGGAAUUGUUUGUGCAUGUAUCUCUUAAUUUUCUUGAUCCUGUUGUGUAAGAUAUUAAGAUAGGUGUGUCUUAGUAUUGAUAUUGUUCUUGGCUGGGCUCAGUCGGUGCAUGAUUUCGGUGUGCUAAGAGCAGUUUUCGAAUCUCCCUUAACCAAAAUAAAAUAAUAAAAAGGAAGAUAAAGCAAUUUUAUGGUAACUUUUAGUAGACUAAAUGCAAGUCCAAGUCUAAUAGCUGAGCUAUAGUCACAUUGGAGUUCUAGGUUUAUGCUUGUUCUGCUUUUAUUAAAGAAGCAUCCUUGUUUAUGGCUUGGUGGACCAUAUUUGUGUGGGUGGUUAUUACAUCAGCUAGUCUGGUUUUUUAUCUUUGUUUUGCAUUAGCCUUUAGAAUUUGGCCCUAGGCUUGGAAUUUUUGCUUAAUUUUGGAUAGAGAUUGUUUUGCUUGAACCAGAGUAUUACAGAUGUUUUAAUACAUGGGGCAAGAAAACUGUUUUUGGAUGUUGUUUCAUUUUGGUUUAUUUCAUUACCACUUCUAUAUUCUUCCCUGUUUAAGGAUGUAGUAGGAACACUUUAGAAGUGUUCGAGUAUAGAAUGAUGUGAACUAUAGUUGAAGCUUUUUCGGUUUCAUAUCUAUCGCUAGUAAGAGAGGCAUGAAUGGCUGCAGGGUGCAUAUCUGGAUAUCUGAGCAACUGAGCUACUACCAGGUGAUAUAUUUGUUAUCAUCUCCAUAUAAAUAACUGUCGUUAUGAACCAAACAAUAUAAUUUCCCAGCACACUUUUCAUCAAUGUUUUCCCCCUAUACUAUCAUGUGGAGUAUAAGGACUGUGUAUUUGCUUUAUGAUAUCUUGGCCUGCAUUUUGCUCUCUUAAGGUACAUAAUGUUUUCCCAUGUCAUGCUACAAAACUGUCAUCCUGUCAUUAAGCUGCCGUGUGAAAACAUGCUAUAAUUGACAUAAGUUUUUUUUUUUACUGUCAUUUAAGUAUUAUGAUUUUGGACGAACAGUUUCAGAUUAUAUA
This 1315-nucleotide long non-coding RNA is filed under the name Gossypium raimondii (Peruvian cotton). RNAcentral's name for it is "long non-coding RNA (GRAI_LNC009793)". Lineage: Eukaryota; Viridiplantae; Streptophyta; Magnoliopsida; Malvales; Malvaceae. The record is from RNAcentral.